CUUCUUCUUCUUUUCUUUGGCACCCGAUGCUGUUAGGGGCUCAUUUUCGAAGGCUUCAUUCGUCCGGACAUAUUUUUCUGCUCCAACAAGUAUCGAAGAUCAUUCUUCAAAAAUCUAUCCUUUAGGAUAGUUAUUGCGAUGGACUGAUCCAGAUCAUGAACCUCCAGCACGGUCGCAUUGAAAUGGCUGAUGUAGGAUCGGAGCAACUCUCCUUCCUUCUGCUUGAUGUUGAUCAGUGAAUCCAAUCCCUUGUACUGCCUCCUGCUACUGACAAAACGAGUCAUAAAUAAGCAACUCAUCUGAUCGAACGAGUGAAUGGUCCUAGGCUUCAGGGUCGAGUAUCAGUGCUAGGCUAGAUCCUUUAGAGUAGAUGGGAAGGCUUAGCACAGGAC
Molecule: long non-coding RNA, 392 nt
Filed under: Elaeis guineensis (African oil palm)
Lineage: Eukaryota; Viridiplantae; Streptophyta; Magnoliopsida; Arecales; Arecaceae
Description: long non-coding RNA (EGUI_LNC032472)
Source: RNAcentral